AGGAAAUCUAUAGAAAUAAUAAUAUAAGGACUGAGAUUUUGGCAGUGCAACUUAACUCUCUAUUGACGAUAUUCCUGUGUGUAAUUUAAUUACAUAAGCAUUCGUCAAGUUUCAGGAGAAAAUGAGCUAAAAUGAAGAAGAUACGCGAUUAAUAGUUUUUACUUAAGUGAAUAAUAACUCCGGUUUUCCGGAGAAGACACGGAGUAGAGUUGGCUUUUGGCGCAUAUCAGACUCCCUUUAUAGCGAUUCAAUAGCUCGUUUCGAUCGGUUUAGCUAUUCUGGAACCAAUGGUACUGAAGAAUUUUAGAUCUGAUGCACGAUUUUCGAGAAAAAGGAGUUUUAUCAAAAAGAGGGUUU
Molecule: long non-coding RNA, 357 nt
Filed under: Ananas comosus (pineapple)
Lineage: Eukaryota; Viridiplantae; Streptophyta; Magnoliopsida; Poales; Bromeliaceae
Description: long non-coding RNA (ACOM_LNC003710)
Source: RNAcentral